This 253-nucleotide ribosomal RNA is filed under the name uncultured Acinetobacter sp. RNAcentral's name for it is "partial 16S ribosomal RNA". It matches the Rfam family "Bacterial small subunit ribosomal RNA", at positions 524 to 776 of the family's 1533-position model. The record is from RNAcentral. Lineage: Bacteria; Pseudomonadati; Pseudomonadota; Gammaproteobacteria; Moraxellales; Moraxellaceae.
UACAGAGGGUGCAAGCGUUAAUCGGAUUUACUGGGCGUAAAGCGCGCGUAGGUGGCCAAUUAAGUCAAAUGUGAAAUCCCCGAGCUUAACUUGGGAAUUGCAUUCGAUACUGGUUGGCUAGAGUAUGGGAGAGGAUGGUAGAAUUCCAGGUGUAGCGGUGAAAUGCGUAGAGAUCUGAAGGAAUACCGAUGGCGAAGGCAGCCAUCUGGCCUAAUACUGACACUGAGGUGCGAAAGUGUGGGUAGCGAACAGG